This 492-nucleotide ribosomal RNA is filed under the name uncultured bacterium. RNAcentral's name for it is "partial 16S ribosomal RNA". It matches the Rfam family "Bacterial small subunit ribosomal RNA", at positions 28 to 507 of the family's 1533-position model. The record is from RNAcentral.
GAUGAACGCUAGCUACAGGCUUAACACAUGCAAGUCGAGGGGAAACGGCAUCGAAAGCUUGCUUUUGAUGGGCGUCGACCGGCGCACGGGUGAGUAACGCGUAUCCAACCUGCCCAUCACUUGGGAAUAACCUUGCGAAAGUAAGACUAAUGCCCAAUGACAUCCCACGAAGGCAUCCGAAUGGGAUUAAAGAUUUAUCGGUGAUGGAUGGGGAUGCGUCUGAUUAGCUUGUUGGCGGGGUGACGGCCCACCAAGGCAACGAUCAGUAGGGGUUCUGAGAGGAAGGUCCCCCACAUUGGAACUGAGACACGGUCCAAACUCCUACGGGAGGCAGCAGUGAGGAAUAUUGGUCAAUGGGCGAGAGCCUGAACCAGCCAAGUAGCGUGCAGGAUGACGGCCCUAUGGGUUGUAAACUGCUUUUGUAAGGGAAUAAAGUGGGUCACGUGUGACUUUUUGCAUGUACCUUAUGAAUAAGGACCGGCUAAUUCCGUG